This 737-nucleotide small RNA is filed under the name Pongo abelii (Sumatran orangutan). RNAcentral describes it as "retained intron". Lineage: Eukaryota; Metazoa; Chordata; Mammalia; Primates; Hominidae. The record is from RNAcentral.
CUUAGCCACCUUAAAUGUACCUUUUUUAGAAGUACGCAAUGUGUAAACACAAGUGAAUAACUUAAAGAAUAGUCUGUUGAGAUGAAACAGAAUAGUCCAUAUUUUGGGUGUGUGGAAGGUAAUGCAUGUCAAGGUCUAUGUCUUCAAGAAUUAUAACUCUUGGGGGACCACUGCCAGUUUGCAAACAAUUCCACUCCUGGAAAAGGUUUAAGAGAGUUUCUCUCCUUUAUGGAGUGCAUAGCUAAUCAAAAUGAGUGGAUUCUCAGUAGUUCUGGUGAAUUUUUUUAAGUUUAAAUAUUAAUAUUUCCAACAUUCAACUUUAUAUUUUCAGGGAUCGAUUUGCUUAGUGGUAUAAUACCUGAACUCUGUCAGAAAUAUCCAGAUUUAAAUUUCAUAAUUGGAGGAGAGGGACCAAAGAGAAUCGUUUUGGAAGAAGUUCGGGAAAGAUACCAGCUGCAUGACAGGGUGCGUCUUUUGGGAGCUUUAGAACACAAGGAUGUUAGAAAUGUCUUAGUUCAAGGACAUAUUUUUCUGAAUACCUCCCUUACUGAAGCAUUCUGCAUGGCGAUCGUGGAAGCAGCCAGUUGUGGUUUACAGGUUGUAAGUACCAGAGUUGGUGGAAUUCCUGAGGUGCUUCCAGAAAACCUUAUUAUUUUAUGUGAGCCUUCAGUAAAAUCUUUGUGUGAAGGAUUGGAAAGGGCUAUUUUCCAACUGAAGUCAGGGACAUUGCCGGCUCC